RNAcentral lists this ribosomal RNA (497 nucleotides) under uncultured bacterium. Its description in RNAcentral is "partial 16S ribosomal RNA". It matches the Rfam family "Bacterial small subunit ribosomal RNA", at positions 28 to 507 of the family's 1533-position model. The record is from RNAcentral.
GACGAACGCUGGCGGCGUGCCUAAUACAUGCAAGUAGAACGCUGAAGAGAGGAGCUUACUCUUCUUGGAUGAGUUGCGAACGGGUGAGUAACGCGUAGGUAACCUGCCUUGUAGCGGGGGAUAACUAUUGGAAACGAUAGCUAAUACCGCAUAACAAUGGAUGACACAUGUCAUUUAUUUGAAAGGGGCAAUUGCUCCACUACAAGAUGGACCUGCGUUGUAUUAGCUAGUAGGUGAGGUAACGGCUCACCUAGGCGACGAUACAUAGCCGACCUGAGAGGGUGAUCGGCCACCCUGGGACUGAGACACGGCCCAGACUCCUACGGGAGGCAGCAGUAGGGAAUCUUCGGCAAUGGGGGCAACCCUGACCGAGCAACGCCGCGUGAGUGAAGAAGGUUUUCGGAUCGUAAAGCUCUGUUGUAAGUCAAGAACGGGUGUGAGAGUGGAAAGUUCACACUGUGACGGUAGCUUACCAGAAAGGGACGGCUAACUACGUG